GCCCCUGUAGCCCAAUUGGAAGUAGGCGCUUCACUUAGAUUGAAGAGGUUGUAGAUUCGAGUUCUACCAGGGGCA
This 75-nucleotide transfer RNA is filed under the name Dulcicalothrix desertica PCC 7102. RNAcentral's name for it is "Calothrix desertica PCC 7102 tRNA". It matches the Rfam family "tRNA". From Rfam's summary of the family: Transfer RNA (tRNA) molecules are approximately 80 nucleotides in length. Their secondary structure includes four short double-helical elements and three loops (D, anti-codon, and T loops). Further hydrogen bonds mediate the characteristic L-shaped molecular structure. tRNAs have two regions of fundamental functional importance: the anti-codon, which is responsible for specific mRNA codon recognition, and the 3' end, to which the tRNAs corresponding amino acid is attached (by aminoacyl-tRNA synthetases). tRNAs cope with the degeneracy of the genetic code in two manners: having more than one tRNA (with a specific anti-codon) for a particular amino acid; and 'wobble' base-pairing, i.e. permitting non-standard base-pairing at the 3rd anti-codon position. The record is from Rfam by way of RNAcentral. Lineage: Bacteria; Bacillati; Cyanobacteriota; Cyanophyceae; Nostocales; Calotrichaceae.